Carassius auratus (goldfish) is the source of this 1354-nucleotide long non-coding RNA. RefSeq lists it as uncharacterized. NCBI's taxonomy places the organism in Eukaryota, Metazoa, Chordata, Actinopteri, Cypriniformes, Cyprinidae. The record is from RefSeq and is a predicted model, not a curated record. The transcript is spliced from 3 exons.
GAUGGUCUUUGACGCCACAUCAAAAUGGGAAGGAUGAGCGGAGCUCAGCUGAGCUGGAAACUGUAUUCCUGUCGUUCCUCAGGAGAGUGGGAAGGCAAACCUGCAUGCACUUUCUACCACUGACCAGGGGAGAGGUGAGAGUGAGACAGCGUGCCAGAGAUCACUGUCUUAUGAAGUGUACUUCCACGGGGACUGGUGGGAUUCAAUCUGGUGUUGUCUCUUUUGGCUGCGCCUCAAAGGGUCAAGUUCUCCCCUUUUAUUAUCUUCCAAUUCUUCCUGGAGCAAAAGACAUGGAAUUUACCUUCUCUGAUGGCUUUUGAAACAAUGCUAACAACUGGAUUCCACUCGUAAUUGAAGGAAACUAGAUUGAGACCCAUCUUUAUCCAGCAAUUGAACAAAAUGGGUGAGAAAUGUCUCUCUGACCCGGAGGAAAGGAUGCGUCAUUCCGUCUGACGCCCCUGAGGGAUUACGUGUGAAACGUUCAUCAUAACACGUAUUAUCCAGUUCAAGGACAACUAAAGUUGGAAUAUUUUACCUUUUGGUUAGACUUUUUUUUUUUUUUUUUUUAUUCGGAACUCAAAAAAAAAAAAAAAUAAAACAUUGCAGAUCUAAAACAAAUAAGCUCUUGGCAAGAAAAGCAUCUUUGGGAGUUUCUUUUUCUUCCUGGAUUGGAUUUUGCGUGGCUCGUGCAAUUCUCCUUGCCAUGUCUUCAUGGAAGAGAAGAAUUCUGCAUCAUAGACAACUGCUUUCCAUUCAAAGUUACACCCAAGGACUCGCACAUGCACACUGAACACAUGCUAGGGUGAAAUGAGCCCCGUUUCUUGCACAUUUUGCUUCUUCAUCCUGGUGUUUGGUGUGUGUUCUUGGAUCUAACAGCCUAAGCGUCCUUCAAUGAUUCUGGCACCUUCCGUUCCAUCUGCGUCUGUCCUGAGAUGCCCCACCGUACACAGCAAGAGGAGGUUUGACCCCAGACCCAGCGAGGUCUCUCGGCUGCCCAGGCGUAUUUAAGAUGUUGAACCCUUCCCACGUGGCCCGAGCCCCAGAUCGGAUCAGUAGCACUGCGGCUCCCGGAGGCCCCAGACAUGGAUCGUGGCUCGGCUCGCCCCUGCCCUCAGCGCUCCACACCCCGGCCCGUGAGCAGCCUGUGAAGGAUGUCCCAGAGCGGAGCUCCAGCCCGGGAACCCUCUGAGACCCCCAGUCAGAGAGAACAGAUCCGCAGCCACAUGAAGAUGGUGAUCGGGCAGCUGGAAGGAAUCCUCAAGGAGCUGAAAGAUGUGGCACAUGAACUGCGGGAGGUAAGGUCUGCUUGCUUUCUACUGUCGAUUUGGUUUGGACUGCAGGUGACUGGUUUCUC